CGUAGGGUGCGAGCGUUAAUCGGAAUUACUGGGCGUAAAGCGUGCGCAGGCGGUUUUGUAAGCCAGAUGUGAAAUCCCCGGGCUUAACCUGGGAAUGGCAUUUGGGACUGCAAGGCUGGAGUGCGGCAGAGGAGACUGGAAUUCCUGGUGUAGCAGUGAAAUGCGUAGAUAUCAGGAGGAACACCGAUGGCGAAGGCAGGUCUCUGGGCUGACACUGACGCUCAUGCACGAAAGCGUGGGGAGCAAACAGGAUUAGAUACCCUGGUAGUCCACGCCCUAAACGAUGUCGACUGGUUGUUGGGGGUUUGACACUCUCAGUAACGAAGCUAACGCGUGAAGUCGACCGCCUGGGGAGUACGGCCGCAAGGUUA
This 371-nucleotide ribosomal RNA is filed under the name uncultured organism. RNAcentral describes it as "bacterial SSU rRNA". It matches the Rfam family "Bacterial small subunit ribosomal RNA", at positions 526 to 896 of the family's 1533-position model. The record is from RNAcentral.